RNAcentral lists this ribosomal RNA (695 nucleotides) under Chrysomyxa ledi. Its description in RNAcentral is "eukaryotic LSU rRNA". The stretch from base 207 to 361 matches the Rfam family "5.8S ribosomal RNA". The record is from RNAcentral. Lineage: Eukaryota; Fungi; Basidiomycota; Pucciniomycetes; Pucciniales; Coleosporiaceae.
GUUCAAGAGUGCACUUCAUUGUGGCUCUAAACCUUUUUCAAUAUACCUUUCACCCUUUUUUAAACCCAAAGCUGUUAUGUGUGCCUUCUUGGUAUAGCAUCUCAGUAGUACGCAUCAUGUGUUAAUUCACAAGUUGCAUUACCCCCCUUUUUUAAAUUUAACACUAUAAAAAGUUUUUAGAAUGUAAACCCCCUUUAAAUUAAUAUAACUUUUAACAAUGGAUCUCUUGGCUCUCACAUCGAUGAAGAACACAGUGAAAUGUGAUAAGUAAUGUGAAUUGCAGAAUUCAGUGAAUCAUCGAAUCUUUGAACGCACCUUGCACCUUUUGGUUAUUCCGAAAGGUACACCUGUUUGAGUGUCAUGAAACCCUCUCAUUCCAAUUUUUUAUUAAGUUAAGAAGUUGAAAUGGAUGUUGGGUGUUGCCGUUAUUGGCUCACCUUAAAUAUAUAAGUACUUUUAUUGAGAAAAUAAAUGGAUAUACUUGGUGUAAUAUUUAUUAUUCAUUGAGGAGUGUGGUGCCUUAAAAACAYUACAGCCAUUUGAACUUUUGAUAGAUAGCUUCCGAACCCUAAUAUAUAUAUCAUUUAGACCUCAAAUCAGGUGGGACUACCCGCUGAACUUAAGCAUAUCAAUAAGCGGAGGAAAAGAAACUAACAAGGAUUCCCCUAGUAACGGCGAGUGAAGAGGGAAAAGCC